GUGCCGGAGGCGGGGCGUGGGGUGCGCGCCCGCCCCCGGUACCGCGGCUGCGCCUUGCCCGCGCCCGCCGCCGCCAUGGACAGCGACGAGGAGACGCUGGAGGAGAUCGUGGAAGGGCAUCUAGAUGACGAUGGGCUGCCGCAUGGAUUCUGUACAGUAACCUACUCAUCAACAGACAGAUUUGAAGGAAAUUUUGUGCAUGGAGAAAAGAAUGGCCGUGGCAAAUUCUUCUUUUUUGAUGGAAGCACCCUGGAGGGAUACUAUGUUGAUGAUGCCCUGCAAGGGCAGGGAAUCUACACCUACGAGGAUGGCGUGGUCCUUCAUGGCACCUACGUGGACGGAGAGCUGAACGGCCCGGCGCAGGAGUACGACAGCGACGGGCGGCUCAUCUUCAAAGGGCAGUACAAGGACAACAUCCGGCACGGCGUCUGCUGGAUUUAUUACCUGGAUGGAGGCAGCCUUGUGGGAGAAGUGAAUGAAGAUGGGGAGAUGACUGGAGAGAAAAUAGCCUAUGUGUAUCCUGAUGGAAAGACUGCAUAUUCUGGAAGGUUCAUAGAUGGAGAAAUGAUAGAAGCAAAACUGGCAACUCUGACAGCUGUUGAGGAUGGCAAACCUCAAUUUGAAGUAGUUCCAGGCAGCCCAGUGUACAGUUUUGACAAAUCCACUUCAUCCUGCAUUUCUACAAAUGCCCUUCUUCCUGAUCCUUAUGAAUCAGAGAGGGUGUAUGUGGAUGUCUCCCUCAUUUCCAGUGCUGGAGAAGGAUUGUUUUCAAAAGUAGCAGCAGAAGCCAGUACAGUGAUGUCCUUCUAUAACGGAGUGCGAAUUACACACCAGGAGGUAGACAGCAGAGACUGGGCCCUCAAUGGAAAUACAAUAUCCCUGGAUGAUGAGACAGUCAUAGACGUGCCAGAGCCCUACAACCACGCUGCCAAGUACUGUGCCUCCCUGGGGCACAAGGCCAACCAUUCCUUCACUCCCAACUGCACCUAUGAACCGUUUGUUCAUCCUCGUUUUGGGCCCAUCAAGUGUAUCCGUACCAUCAGGGCUGUGGAGAAGGAUGAGGAGCUGACAGUGGCUUAUGGCGUGGAGAUGGCUUUUGCCACUGGGUGGUGAAAGAGCUCAGUGUGUCCUUCCAAGGGGCGAGCUGGCAUCCCCUGGUUCAAACACAGGGGAGAUGCAACAAAUGAUCCUUAAAAUUACAAAUGGUCGUUUCUGCUCUUUGGGGAGGUAUUUAUGCAGCAUUACAUGCAGCCGCCAUAAAUAAUUGCAGUAGUAAGGCUAGUCACGUUUCCAGGACGUACCUCUCAGCUUGUCUCUUCAUGAUACCCUACAAACAACCCAUCCCUCCUUCCUGUAGAUUCCCUUCUAGAAAACUUUUCCUACUGCAGCUGUAACAAGUUUAACUUUGAGCUAAGAACCAGACUAAAAUUGUGUAUUACUUAACAGUUUCUGCUGGGCCUUCUGCUAUUUUAAUACUCUCUAGCCCAUAAUUACUGGGUGUUUCUGUUCUGAAGAACUAAGUGCUAAAGAAUAAUCUUUGGGGUAAGCUUGUACAUGUGUUAACAGUUAACCCUGGAGUAUUCAACUUGUGUACAGUACUUGACAGGUGUUUUAUGACAUUUGUACUCGAACUAUGAGCCUUACUGAACAUCUGUAGGUUUAUUCAUGACUUUUAAAAAUGGAUAACUACAAGAAAGAUGUUUACAUGAAUGAUGUUUGCCCUUCCUUUCAUGUUAUGAAUGGGGUUUUUAUAGUGUGUUUGGGCGUAUGUGCAAGGAAGCAAGAGAGGUGUUUCUGGGGAAAAACAGACUUGACAAACAUUUGUAAUAAGUGAAUUUUAAAGAUUGCUUUAAUUGCGCUAUGAAGGCAAUGCAAAAAUAAACUAUUCAACAGAAAA
RNA transcript from Zonotrichia leucophrys gambelii, 1897 nucleotides. It is a transcript of the gene named SET domain containing 7, histone lysine methyltransferase, with no coding region annotated. The record is from RefSeq and is a predicted model, not a curated record. The transcript is spliced from 10 exons. Lineage: Eukaryota; Metazoa; Chordata; Aves; Passeriformes; Passerellidae.